Molecule: long non-coding RNA, 3560 nt
Organism: Globicephala melas (long-finned pilot whale)
Lineage: Eukaryota; Metazoa; Chordata; Mammalia; Artiodactyla; Delphinidae
Source: RefSeq, a predicted model, not a curated record
CUGAGCCAACAUGAAUGGAAUUAGUGCUCUUAUAAAAGAGGCUCCAGAGAGAUCUUUAGCCCUUCAACAAUGUGAGGACACAGCAAGCAGUAGUCCACCCACACUGAAUCUGCUGGAGCCUUGAUUUUGGACUUCCCAGCCCCCAGAACUGUGAGCAAUAAAUUUCUGUUGUUUAUAAGCUACCGGUCUGUGGUAUUUUGUUAUAGCAGCCGUAACAGACUAAGAAAAAUGCCAUAACAUGAUCUCCCUUUAAACUGUCACUCUCAUAGCUAUUGAAGAUUGGACUGGAGAAGGGGCAAGUGUGAACACAGAGUGGCCAGUGAGAAAGCUUUUCGGUUGUCCAGAGAGAUACAACAGUGGCUUGGACCAGGGCAAUGACAAUGCAGAUGGAGAGAAGUGGACAAAUUCAACACCUAUUUUGAAGAGACCGUUCUAGGAGACCAGUCAAGAUGUGGCAGGAGAACCCAUUCCUGACUGGACCUGCGAGGGUGUGGCCCCGAGGAGGCGGCUAUAGAGGAAAACCUGGCAAACAGGCUAGAAUUCAGGAGCCGAGGAAGAACAGUUAAUGGAGACAUGCUCUGCCUCUUUGCAGAUUGACUCAAGAACUGGGACUGGCCUGAGCCUUCAAGGAGCUAGGCAAGUGGCAGAGGAUAUGAGAUUUAACCUAACAACAAGGAACUCAGAAUAGACUUUACAGGCUCAAUGGAGCUAAUCUUUUAGAAGAAUGUCAUCAAUGGUAUCCGAGAAAACUCAAGGGAAAAACGGAGGCAGAAAGGGGACUCAGGAAAGUACUGCAUCAAUCUAUUCAGAAAGUAACAUGGAAUUGGAUAUUACUGACCUGUAAAUUCUAUCCUUGAAACAUUAAUUAUGUGGUACAUUUUUCGAGUAAGAGUCAUAUAACCGUUAUUUUAUAUUUGCAGUACUUUGAAAAUUUACAUGACAUAUUACCAUCUAUUACUGUGAUGCUUAAUUAUACUUAUUUAACUCUAUCCUUACCUUAGGCUGAAACCACCUUAAAUGGGAUGGCAGGCCAGAUCUAGUAGUUCUCAAAGUAUGUUCCAGGAACCAGUACAAGCAGCAUCAAGUGAGCACUUGUUAGAAAUUCAAAUCUUUAGAUGCUAUCCCAGACCUACUGAAUCACAAACUCUGUGGAUGGAGUCUACCAAUUGGGGUUUUAAGUCUUGCAAGUGGUUCUAAAACACUCUAAGGUUUGACAACCACUUCUUCAGGCAUUUCAGACUUAGACCUCUUUAGAGCCUGUUUAGGAAAAAAAUACUCUUCUGUUUUCUGUCAACUCACAGCACUACUCUCACUUCAGAUCACCAAAUGUGUGAUUUUUUUUUCCCACACCAAACAAUUCUGCCACACCAGCUGGGUGACCUACAUUUAAACUGAGUUCUGACACUACCUGGAGAUAGUGUCAGAUUCAACAGGUUAAAGUCUUGUGGGACUGAGCCCCACUCCCUGACAUCAGUCACCAGUUGCAAGUUCAAGUUGUUACCUGUGCUUCUGACCUAUAAGCAGUAAAUUGGGGGCUCAUAUAACCCCAUCCUGGGGCUUGAUUAAUUUGCUAGAGCAGCUCACACAACUCAAGAAAACAGUUUACUUACUGGAUUGCCAGUUUAUUAUAAAAGAAUAUAACUCAGGAACAGCCAGGUGGAAGAGGUACAUAGGGUUCAGUAUGGGGAAAGGACUCAGCUUCCAUGCCCUGUCUAGGCUCACUACCCUCUCAGCACCUCCAUGUAUUCACCAACAUGGAAGCUCUUCAAACCAGUUGGUUUUGGGUUUUUAUGGAGGCUUCAUUAGCCACUGAUUCAACCUCCAGUCCCUCUCCCCUCACCAGAGGUCCCUAUCCUUAGGAGCUUUCCGAAAGUCAUCAUAUUAACAUAAACUCAGAGGUGGUUGAAAGGAUACCUGUUUCAUUCUGGAGCUAUUUCAGAAGCUGAGAAGGAAAGGUAUCCCUAUAACCCUUAUUGCUCAGGAAACUACAAAGGUUUUAGGAAUUAUGUGCCAAAACUGUGGAGGAAGACCAAAUAUAUAUUUUUUAAAUCACAAUAUCAUUGUGGUCUGGCAGAGAUUUUUGUUAAAAACCAGUGAGGUGGGAAUUCCCUGGUAAUCCAGUGGUUAGGACUCUGUGCUUUGACUGCUGAGGGCCUGGGUUCAAUCCGAGGCCAAAAAAAAAAAAAAAAACCAGGGAGGCAAAAUGGUUUUUUUGUCUGUUCAGGCUGCUAUAACAAAAUGUCAUAGACUGGGUAGCUUACUUAUAAACAACAGAAAUUUAUUUCUCACAGUUCUGGAAGCUGGGAAGUCCAAGAUCAAGGUGAUGGCCAAUUCAAUGUCUAGUGAGAAGCUGCUAGUGAGAAGCUGCUUCCUCAUAGACCAUAGUCUGCUCACUGUAAUCUCAUUUGGCGGAAGGGAUGAGAGAGCUCCCUGGGGCCUCUUUUAUAGGGGAACUUAAUCCCAUUCAUCAUGACCUAAUCACCCCCAAAGGCCCCACCUCCAAACACUAUCACAUGGGGGAUGAGGUUUCAACAUAUGAAUUUUGCGGGGGCACAAACAUUCAGUCCAUAACAAUGGCUAACUAUAAAUAGUGGGGGUUUGCAGCUGGUCAGGACUGGAGUCAAACUGGGGCUCCAGUACUUGUUAGUUGUAUAGGAUCUUGAGCGAGUUGCUUAGCCUUUCUGAACCUCAGAUUCCUCACACAGAAAAUAGAAACAAUAAUAUCUACCUUGAGAGGUUACUAUGAACUCUGAAGUCUAUGUACCUAGAUGGUAAUCAGGAGUGCUGACUCUGGUGUCAGACCCAGUUCAAAUGCCAGCUCUUCUAUUGACUGUGUGAUCUUGGGAAAAUUACUAAACCUCUCUGUGUUUCAGAUUUCUCAUCUGUAAAGUGAGUAAUAAUAUACUUUCUUCAUAGGGUUGUUGUGAGGAUUCAAUGAGUCAAUAUUAUCAAUGGCUUAGAAGACUGCCUGUCCCAUAAUUGCUCAAUAAUUAUGUUUAUAAUAAUAGAAAUACAAAUAACAACACUGAUAAUAAUAAAAUACAUCACAUAGAAUACCUAGACCUAGAAUAUGGUAGAUAUUAAAUAUUUGGUAGCAAUUAUUAUUACUAUUAUUAAAAAUUUUUUGGCUUCACUGCAUGGCUUAUGGAAUCUUAGUUCCCCAACCUGGACCCUUGGCAGUGAAAGCGCCAAGUCCUAAACACUGGACCACCAGGGAAUUCCCAGUAGCAAUUAUUAUUGUUAUCAUUAUAAAAUUCUCAACAAGCAUAGGGUUAUAAGAGGCUCCAGUAUAUAGGCACCCCCUGAUACUUUCAUAUAGUCUUUACAUUCUAAUGACUCCCGUCCCCUAUGAAUAAGCUCUAUGGAUUAUAUCAACAUCAAUUUUCUAGUUUUGAUAGUGUACUAUAGUUACUCAAGAUGCUACCAUGGGAGGAGAUGGAGCUGAGUAAAGGAUAUAUAGAACCUCCCUGUACAUUUUUUAUUUUUUUGGAAAUGCCUGUGAAUCUGUAAUUAUUAAAAAAUAAAAAGUAAAGAAGAAAAAAAAAAAAGAUAGGGGUAGG